UUUAGAUGGCGACCGGCGCACGGGUGAGUAACACGUAUCCAACCUGCCGAUGACUCGGGGAUAGCCUUUCGAAAGAAAGAUUAAUACCCGAUGGCAUAAUUCUUCCGCAUGGUAGAACUAUUAAAGAAUUUCGGUCAUCGAUGGGGAUGCGUUCCAUUAGGUUGUUGGCGGGGUAACGGCCCACCAAGCCUUCGAUGGAUAGGGGUUCUGAGAGGAAGGUCCCCCACAUUGGAACUGAGACACGGUCCAA
Molecule: ribosomal RNA, 250 nt
Filed under: uncultured bacterium
Lineage: Bacteria
Description: partial 16S ribosomal RNA
Rfam family: Bacterial small subunit ribosomal RNA
Source: RNAcentral